GCCGGCGAGUCCUCAACUGACGCUAAUGCUCGAAAGUGCGGGUAUCGAACAGGAUUAGAUACCCUGGUAGUCCGCACGGUAAACGAUGGAUGCCCGCUGUUGGCGACACACUGUCAGCGGCCAAGCGAAAGCGUUAAGCAUCCCACCUGGGGAGUACGCCGGCAACGGUGAAACUCAAAGGAAUUGACGGGGGCCCGCACAAGCGGAGGAACAUGUGGUUUAAUUCGAUGAUACGCGAGGAACCUUACCCGGGCUUGAACUGCAGCAGAACGAUAGAGAGAUCUUGAGGCCCUUCGGGGCUGCUGUGGAGGUGCUGCAUGGUUGUCGUCAGCUCGUGCCGUGAGGUGUCGGCUUAAGUGCCAUAACGAGCGCAACCCCUUCCGUCAGUUGCCAUCACUUUGGGUGGGCACUCUGGCGGUACUGCCACCGUAAGGUGUGAGGAAGGUGGGGAUGACGUCAAAUCAGCACGGCCCUUACGUCCGGGGCUACACACGUGUUACAAUGGGUGGUACAGAGAGUCAACCGCCGGCAACGUCGGUUUAAUCAAUAAAGCCAUCCUCAGUUCGGAUUGGGGUCUGCAACCCGACCCCGUGAAGCUGG
Molecule: ribosomal RNA, 600 nt
Filed under: uncultured bacterium
Lineage: Bacteria
Description: bacterial SSU rRNA
Rfam family: Bacterial small subunit ribosomal RNA
Source: RNAcentral